CACGUAGGGCGCGAGCGUUGUCCGGAAUUAUUGGGCGUAAAGAGCUCGUAGGCGGCUCGUUGCGUCGGCUGUGAAAACCCGCAGCUCAACUGUGGGCUUGCAGCCGAUACGGGCGGGCUGGGAUUCGGUAGGGGAGACUGGAAUUCCUGGUGUAGCGGUGAAAUGCGCAGAUAUCAGGAGGAACACCGGUGGCGAAGGCGGGUCUCUGGGCCGAUAUCGACGCUGAGGAGCGAAAGCGUGGGGAGCGAACAGG
RNAcentral lists this ribosomal RNA (253 nucleotides) under uncultured bacterium. RNAcentral's name for it is "partial 16S ribosomal RNA". It matches the Rfam family "Bacterial small subunit ribosomal RNA", at positions 524 to 776 of the family's 1533-position model. The record is from RNAcentral.